GAUGAACGCUGGCGGCGUGCCUAAUACAUGCAAGUCGAGCGAACGGACGAGAAGCUUGCUUCUCUGAUGUUAGCGGCGGAUGGGUGAGUAACACGUGGAUAACCUACCUAUAAGACUUGCAUAACUUCGGGAAACCGGAGCUAAUACCGGAUAAUAUUUUGAACCGCAUGGUUCAAAAGUGAAAGACGGUCUUGCUGUCACUUAUAGAUGGAUCCGCGCUGCAUUAGCUAGUUGGUAAGGUAACGGCUUACCAAGGCAACGAUGCAUAGCCGACCUGAGAGGGUGAUCGGCCACACUGGAACUGAGACACGGUCCAGGCUCCUACGGGAGGCAGCAGUAGGGAAUCUUCCGCAAUGGGCGAAAGCCUGACGGAGCAACGCCGCGUGAGUGAUGAAGGUCUUCGGAUCGUAAAACUCUGUUAUUAGGGAAGAACAUAUGUGUAAGUAACUGUGCACAUCUUGACGGUACCUAAUCAGAAAGCCACGGCUAACUACGUG
RNAcentral lists this ribosomal RNA (497 nucleotides) under uncultured bacterium. RNAcentral describes it as "partial 16S ribosomal RNA". It matches the Rfam family "Bacterial small subunit ribosomal RNA", at positions 28 to 507 of the family's 1533-position model. The record is from RNAcentral.